CAAGUCGAGCGAAUGGAUUAAGAGCUUGCUCUUAUGAAGUUAGCGGCGGACGGGUGAGUAACACGUGGGUAACCUGCCCAUAAGACUGGGAUAACUCCGGGAAACCGGGGCUAAUACCGGAUAACAUUUUGAACCGCAUGGUUCGAAAUUGAAAGGCGGCUUCGGCUGUCACUUAUGGAUGGACCCGCGUCGCAUUAGCUAGUUGGUGAGGUAACGGCUCACCAAGGCAACGAUGCGUAGCCGACCUGAGAGGGUGAUCGGCCACACUGGGACUGAGACACGGCCCAGACUCCUACGGGAGGCAGCAGUAGGGAAUCUUCCGCAAUGGACGAAAGUCUGACGGAGCAACGCCGCGUGAGUGAUGAAGGCUUUCGGGUCUUAAAACUCUGUUGUUAGGGAAGAACAAGUGCUACUUGAAUAAGCUGUCACCUUGGCGGAACCUAACCAGAAAGCCACGCCUAACUACGUCCCAGCAGGCGCGGGAAUUCGGGGGGGGUCAGAUUUAUCCAAAAUUUUUGCGCGUAGGGCGCGCGCGCGGGUUUUCUUGUCUGAUGUGAGGACUCCCCGGGGUUCCCGCCGGGGGGAGUUUGGGAAGGGGGGA
Molecule: ribosomal RNA, 601 nt
Filed under: Bacillus cereus
Lineage: Bacteria; Bacillati; Bacillota; Bacilli; Caryophanales; Bacillaceae
Description: bacterial SSU rRNA
Rfam family: Bacterial small subunit ribosomal RNA
Source: RNAcentral